This 24-nucleotide non-coding RNA is filed under the name Rattus norvegicus (Norway rat). The record is from RNAcentral. Lineage: Eukaryota; Metazoa; Chordata; Mammalia; Rodentia; Muridae.
UCCUGUUGGUGGCAGCGAGGAUGA